GUUGGUGAGGUAAYGGCUCACCAAGGCGACGAUCCCUAGCUGGUYUUGAGAGGAUGAUCAGCCACACUGGAACUGAGACACGGUCCAGACUCCUACGGGAGGCAGCAGUGGGGAAUAUUGCACAAUGGGCGCAAGCCUGAUGCAGCCAUGCCGCGUGUAUGAAGAAGGCCUUCGGGUUGUAAAGUACUUUCAGCGGGGAGGAAGGGAGUAAAGUUAAUACCUUUGCUCAUUGACGUUACCCGCAGAAGAAGCACCGGCUAACUCCGUGCCAGCAGCCGCGGUAAUACGUAGGGUGCGAGCGUUAUCCGGAAUUAUUGGGCGUAAAGAGCUCGUAGGCGGUUUGUCGCGUCUGUCGUGAAAGUCCGGGGCUUAACCCCGGAUCUGCGGUGGUACGGGCAGACUAGAGUGCAGUAGGG
RNAcentral lists this ribosomal RNA (416 nucleotides) under uncultured Vibrio sp. Its description in RNAcentral is "bacterial SSU rRNA". It matches the Rfam family "Bacterial small subunit ribosomal RNA", at positions 248 to 656 of the family's 1533-position model. The record is from RNAcentral. Lineage: Bacteria; Pseudomonadati; Pseudomonadota; Gammaproteobacteria; Vibrionales; Vibrionaceae.